UCCUAAGAGGUCUUGGGGAGUGGAUGUAGGUGCUGGGGUGCACCGAACCACUAUAUGUUUGUUGUGUUUGUGAUGCUUUUUGUCAUUAUCUAUCUUGCUCACUUACUUACCUAGAUAAAUUGCCUGCUUAACUCUUAUCCGCGCAUCCUUUAGUUGCAAGCAUAUUCAAUUUACUUAAUCAAGUCUCAUUCGAUGAAUCAACCUAUUGCUAAGUUUAAAUUUCACUGUGCAACUAUACAACUUAGCAUAAUUAAUUGAAAAGUGUUAGAAGUAGCUUAAAAGUUUUAAAAGACCCAAUUCACCCCCCCCUCUUGGGUUGUAUCUACUGGGCAACAAG
This 337-nucleotide long non-coding RNA is filed under the name Phoenix dactylifera (date palm). RNAcentral describes it as "long non-coding RNA (PDAC_LNC006907)". Lineage: Eukaryota; Viridiplantae; Streptophyta; Magnoliopsida; Arecales; Arecaceae. The record is from RNAcentral.